RNAcentral lists this long non-coding RNA (1045 nucleotides) under Homo sapiens (human). RNAcentral describes it as "HSALNT0347149". Lineage: Eukaryota; Metazoa; Chordata; Mammalia; Primates; Hominidae. The record is from RNAcentral.
CAGAUGCCAAGGCAAAUUUUUCAUGCAUUUUUCCACAGCCUUGUCGGUUAAAAAGUAGAUAGUGAUCCUUCAGUAACAUGGGAAAAUGUGAUGAUUAGUAGCCACUUCUUAGAAAUAGUGUGGUACAGUAAACAGAACCCAGGGUGCAUAAUCAGAAGUGUGCCUCAACACUGGCCAGCUCUUCCGAACUGCGUGGCCCUGGCAGAAUCAUGAUCUCUAUAGCCUCAGUCUAUACAGCUCUUUAAUGAGAGAAUGAGGACACUUGCGUCUUGGAUGUUUCAGAGAGUCAAGCAUAGUUAUUUGUAUUGUAAAUGGAAUAUUUAGAAGAAGGAGCACAAGAAAGAGGACACCCUUAACAGAAAAGUUAUUCAUUUCCAAUUUAAGACUCAUCAAGGGAUAAAAUCUGAAAACUUAUAAAGGAUACUUAUUACAGAAAAAAUUUAAGGGGAAACUGGUGCUGUGGAGAGACCCAUGUGGAAAGGAACUGAGGACUCCCGGCAAAAGUCACCAAGGACCGAGGUUGCUGACAGCUGCAUGUGAACUCGGAAGCAGAUCAAUCCUUGCCCAAGCCCACACUUUGUCUACAGCCUUGGUGAGAGACCCUGAGCCAGGGAUGCACAUCCAAGCUGCACCCAAACUCUUGACCCACAGAAACUGUGAGAUGAUGAAUGUGUUUAAGCCCCCAUAUUGUGGAGUCAUUUAUUACACAGCAAUAGAUGGCUAAGAUGAGCACUAUUUUUAUCCCCUUGUGAGUUCAUGGCUUGGUCUCCCUACCUCCCACUGACUAAAUGUGGCUAAAGCAAAAUCCAAUAACCAGCUGUCUCUGAACAAUAUUAACUGAAUGCCUACUGUUUACUAGCAUGACAGGAAUUCAAAAGAGUUUAUGAGGGAAAUGGCCACAGUGAGGCAGAGGAUUUACAUGCUGGGAAGGCUUCAUCCUGGCAAAUUACCCAGGGCAGACCUUCCCUCCUUCACUGUCUAAAAUAUCCAACUCUUAUAGUUUCAAAUCCCCAUCUCUUAUUGUCUGUCUUAUAGAAACCACCCU